This 497-nucleotide ribosomal RNA is filed under the name uncultured bacterium. RNAcentral describes it as "partial 16S ribosomal RNA". It matches the Rfam family "Bacterial small subunit ribosomal RNA", at positions 29 to 507 of the family's 1533-position model. The record is from RNAcentral.
GCGAACGCUGGCGGCGUGCCUCACACAUGCAAGUCGAACGUGAAAAGGGAAACCUGAGUAAAGUGGCGUACGGGUGAGUAACGCGUAGGUAAUCUACCCCAGAAUCUGGAAUAACCUGCCGAAAGGCGGGCUAAUACUGGAUAGAGCGAGGGAACUCGUAAGAGAGUUUUUCGGGAAAGGGAGCCCGCAAGGGCCUUCGUUCUGGGAUGAGCCUGCGUCUCAUUAGCUAGUUGGUAAGGUAACGGCUUACCAAGGCGAUGAUGAGUAGCUGGUCUGAGAGGAUGAUCAGCCACACUGGAACUGAAACACGGUCCAGACUCCUACGGGAGGCAGCAGUGGGGAAUCAUGCGCAAUGGACGAAAGUCUGACGCAGCCACGCCGCGUGAGUGAAGAAGGCCUUCGGGUUGUAAAGCUCUGUCGGAUGGGACGAACAUCUUCAUAGUGAAUAGCUAUGAGGACUGACGGUACCAUCAAAGGAAGCACCGGCUAACUCCGUG